UGAGUUAGAAAGGAAGUAAAGAGACAAGAAUAAAGGUUCAUGAAUCCUUCUAUUUUCAAUUAAACAAAUUCUAAAAUCAAAGAAAGAAACAGUAUCCUUCUUACAGAAGUAAAAUAGUAUCAUGUUUCAAUUUGACAUUCAGAGCUUAAUCAGAACAAAAAAGAGAAAGGAAAAGGAAAGCAAAGAGAACAAGGAAAGGGGAUGCAAUGAGAAAAGUGAAUGGAAUUGACUAUCGACUAGCGAAUUACCUGCAUGCGUCAACAAUAAGUGAGGAGAACAUCCCAACUGAUCCAUCGCCAAUGCCUAGCCUUUUCUGUUCUAGUGCAGCCACUUCGGCUUUGUUCCUGA
This is a non-coding RNA of Arachis ipaensis, 348 nucleotides long. The record is from RefSeq and is a predicted model, not a curated record. Lineage: Eukaryota; Viridiplantae; Streptophyta; Magnoliopsida; Fabales; Fabaceae.